CGUACUAGCGAGCAAUAUCAUCUGUGAGUACCGAGCAGUCAGCCGUGUGCAUCGAACCUCUCUCCCUUUCUCCUCAUCUCGCGUGCGCCUAUGUCCCGAGCAAUCUCCGCCGCCACUCCACCGUCCUUGGUCCUUGCCGGCAUCCAGCAAUCUCGCUCCGCAUACGACGCUCCGGCGGAAUCCCUUGCCUAACCCGCAUCCACGCGCCUCCAAUCGUGCAGCUUCGGUAGCUCUAGUUGCCGGCCGGUGUCGACAACGACGGGGCCCGGCCUCGUUGUUUUGCUUGACCUCGGCUAUGGCUUUCCGUCGAUCUACCGGCCGUGGAAGGCGCUGAUCGUCCUCGGCAUCUAGCGCAUCGACGGCUCGCCAUCCACGGUCACGGUCUGCCACCGAGGCCCCCGCCGCGCGCGAGCUCCAGCACCUCUGCUCCGCCGCCGUCUUCGCGGGGUCGCCCGACGGAAGGGAGUCCAUCGACGCGGCCGUCAGCGACGCAUCUGAAGACUGGGAGGGACGUGUCUACGUUCUGCAAGAGCUCGCCCCCCAAGAUCCACCGCGACGGCGCCGUUCAGGAGGAGCUCCUCAUCGACAACAAGGAAGAGGGAUUUCGCUCACCAUCUGCAGUCUGCACGCCAAGUCUUCCGGCAUGAUGCCGGCGCGCCAGAAGCAGCCGGAGGCCUCGGAUACAAUAACCAGUGCAUUGCCAUGUACGUGACUACUGGCUCGCUUGUGGUGAGUGAGAGAUUGAGCGUUAGGAGGUGUGCAACUCGCCGGUGUGUGGUGAUCCCAGCGGCGAUCUUUGUCGAUGACGCCGGACGAAAACCAGGGGAGGUACUGGUUGAGCUACACUGGUAGCUUCACCCGCAUGCUGAAGGAUCUGGACAUGCCGAGCGACGUUUCUCUUAAAUAGAUCUACAUGAGUAAUUCAGAAAGAGGCAUGCAGAUCUUUGAGAGCCAUCCUUUGUUGCACAUCAACUCCGUGGCUCUCUCAUUACGUCAAAGGUCUUGUUAUUCUUGACAGGCUGCAUGAGAACACGUGCUCAAACUGUUGCAAAGAGGAAUUGGGAAUUCAGCAAGGGAGGAAGGAAGAAGGUUGUAGUGGUAUUACAACAUUUCAUAGUGUUGGUCAUAUGACAGAAGAUGGUGCUCUUGGUAUAUGUGUAUGCUGAUCAAAAGGGCAUGGGCUCUGUCCUGGCCAUUUCCUCGUACGUGCUUGCCAGGAACAAUGACGCACCCGCUGCUGCCAUGCCAGCCGGUUGAUCCGGUAUAAGAACUUCAAGGAAGGACACAAGAGGAUACUUGUGGCUACAAAUUUAGUUGGCGGCAAAAUUGAUGUUGUCCAUGCUCUGACUCUGAUGUUCUCAAUCAGGUUGUUCGGGAGACAACUUACCCAUGGUGUUGGUGUUGUCUAAAAUUGUGAAGCUCACAUACCGAAGUAACUAGGUCCUAACAAGCGACGCAUCAUACAAACAUCGUCUAGAGCAUGGAGCUCCUGGAGCUAGGCGAAAGAAGCAGCGCUGCGGCGUGACACAUAUGUCGGUGGCCUGGUAUCCAACCUUUAGGUGGUGGAGUUGUUUGUGUGCAUGGCCAAGAACAGGAGCAUCUGAUUUCCUCCUUCACAUCUGACCUGGCUGGCCUCCCUCAACUUAUCAUUGCACAUCAGCUAAAGUAAGAAGAAGAUGAACAAGACUUGGAAGGAUGAGACAUCACAGCUAGAUCCUUUCUAUGAAUGUUAUACUAUUCCGGUCCUUGUAGUGUGAGUACUAGUUGACAUUUUUAAGCAUCGUUGUUAUUGUAAUGCUUCCAAUCAGGACCUGUAAGUGCUUCCGUUGACAUGUUUAUUUUUGAACUUGAGGUUAUGGUUGGUUAGGCUUAUGAAGGAGUUGGCUAUAGUAUACACCUUAAAUCUAGUUUACUGGAUUGGAUGGAAAUUAACCGGUGGUGGUCUGUUUGGAUUUCGUACAAAGAGGAGGAACAGAAGAGAAGAAUGUUCCAGCCACAGUUGAGAUUUUUGCAAAUGAGUUACAAUGGCUGCUUGUUCGGGCCGUGAGAUUUUCAUUCGAGACGGACUUGCUCUUGAAAUUGAUGGAUGCUACAUGGUGUAGCGAUGUGGGUGAUGGAUGUGUCCUGGAAGUUUCAGGGUAACUACUGUAGAUGUGUAUCGUCAGAUCUACAAGACUAUAUUUUGAUGACUAGCUGAUGUUUUGUUGAGCUAAACACGGCAGUGGCUGCGUAUGGUGUUGGUUCUUGUAGCUAACUAGCUAGCUUUGUUAUAUUUACUUUGUCACAAGUGUGUGUGCGCCCAAUUCUGUUGUAAUUUUGCAUUAGAUUAUCGACAUAAGCUUUGAAAGCAUGAGACGUAUGUAUAACUGGUCCCCUUUGUUUAUGGAAAUUUCAUUUGCCGAUGCUA
Lolium perenne is the source of this 2407-nucleotide non-coding RNA. The record is from RefSeq and is a predicted model, not a curated record. Lineage: Eukaryota; Viridiplantae; Streptophyta; Magnoliopsida; Poales; Poaceae.